RNAcentral lists this ribosomal RNA (482 nucleotides) under uncultured bacterium. RNAcentral describes it as "partial 16S ribosomal RNA". It matches the Rfam family "Bacterial small subunit ribosomal RNA", at positions 30 to 507 of the family's 1533-position model. The record is from RNAcentral.
AUUGAACGCUGGCGGCAUGCCUUACACAUGCAAGUCGAACGGUAACGGGCCUUCGGGUGCCGACGAGUGGCGAACGGGUGAGUAAUACAUCGGAACGUGCCCGAUCGUGGGGGAUAACGAGGCGAAAGCUUUGCUAAUACCGCAUACGAUCUACGGAUGAAAGCAGGGGACCGCAAGGCCUUGCGCGGACGGAGCGGCCGAUGGCAGAUUAGGUAGUUGGUGGGAUAAAAGCUUACCAAGCCGACGAUCUGUAGCUGGUCUGAGAGGAUGAUCAGCCACACUGGGACUGAGACACGGCCCAGACUCCUACGGGAGGCAGCAGUGGGGAAUUUUGGACAAUGGGCGCAAGCCUGAUCCAGCCAUACCGCGUGCAGGAUGAAGGCCUUCGGGUUGUAAACUGCUUUUGUACGGAACGAAAAGCCUUCUUUUAAUACAGGAGGGUCAUGACGGUACCGUAAGAAUAAGCACCGGCUAACUACGUG